This is a long non-coding RNA of Sebastes umbrosus (honeycomb rockfish), 747 nucleotides long. RefSeq lists it as uncharacterized. The record is from RefSeq and is a predicted model, not a curated record. The transcript has 3 exons. Lineage: Eukaryota; Metazoa; Chordata; Actinopteri; Perciformes; Sebastidae.
CCCUAUGUAGAUAUGAAGGACUCAUUCUAAGCUAACGAAAACACAACAAUUCUUAGUUUCAGGUGAUUAUACACUCAUGAAAACAUAGUUAUGAAUAUUAUAUUAUACACACACUGUUCCUUUAAAUUCAGUACUUGUGUACAUGCAUGUACUUACAUUCCUCCACUGGGUGCAGGUAAUGGUGGAAGAAGUGUUCAGAUCAGCAACACAACAUUAUAAAAUACUCCAAUACACAUAAAGAUCCUGCAUUCAAAUUAAAGUACUGGCACCAAAAGUAGUCUACUCAUUAUGCAGUAUGGCUCCUGUCAGUACUACAUUAUAAUAAAGUUCUUAAGUAUAUAACUUUAUUACUUUCCUGCACCUGCAGCAGGUUUGAUUUCAGAAGUAGAAGGAACACAAUGAAGUCUCGACGUCGCUCCACCAGACAAAUAGUUUUCAUAAAAGUGAAUGCAGCAUAUUUACAUUCAUAUUAACCCUGCGCAUAAUACAUACAUCCUUUCCCCGUUGUGGUCCUUAAUCGUUGGUUUUAGUCGUCGUUUUAAUUAUUUGGUUGAUUGUCUAUAUUUGAUCUAUUAUUUGUCUUUAUGUUUGUAUUGUAUUAUGUGUUUUAGCCGAACCAGGGACAAGGACAGUAAAUCAGCUACGCAUCGUUUUCAUUUAAUCUAAAUGUAACAAUGCUUACAUGUAUCGUAAUAAACUAAUAAAACAAAAUAAAAAUAACACAUUGUGAUGAAAUUUGUCUUAUUC